GUGGGUAGAGCUCAGUGGUAGAGCACAUGCUUAGCAUGAACAAGGUCUGGGUUCAAUUCCCAGUACCUCCA
Molecule: transfer RNA, 71 nt
Filed under: Camelus bactrianus (Bactrian camel)
Lineage: Eukaryota; Metazoa; Chordata; Mammalia; Artiodactyla; Camelidae
Also listed under: 3 other names
Rfam family: tRNA
About the family: Transfer RNA (tRNA) molecules are approximately 80 nucleotides in length. Their secondary structure includes four short double-helical elements and three loops (D, anti-codon, and T loops).
Source: Rfam by way of RNAcentral